Molecule: long non-coding RNA, 550 nt
Organism: Sapajus apella (tufted capuchin)
Lineage: Eukaryota; Metazoa; Chordata; Mammalia; Primates; Cebidae
Exons: 3
Source: RefSeq, a predicted model, not a curated record
AUUUUGGAAGUGCCACCACGCCCGGCCAAGAUGGGUCUUUUGAGGCAUUCUUCAGACUUUUCGCAUUCUGGCGACUAACUGACCCCACCCAGACUCGUGACUCAAGACCCAAUCCUUUCUUCUGCCCCAGUCCUCCACCCAGAGGCGGACUCAGGGUGCUGCUAACUGGGCGGAUAGCAUCUCCAGCCAGUCAGCCGCACCCAUUCCCUACUGCCCUCCCACACCAAACUGAAAACCCUAACCUCUGAGCUGAACCUUCCGGAAAACACUUGAGUGGUAACUCUUCGUCCCUGAGGCCAGCCUCACGUUAAUACAACUCUAUUUCUGUAGCAUUUAGUGUAGUGCUAAGCAUUAGGGACUUAGUGAAUUGGUUUUGUCAGCAGCGGGCUGGAAGAACCUGGGUGGGAUUCAUUCCCAUGAGUAGAAAUUUCUUUCCAUUUAGAGCUUAGCCUAUUGUCACCUCCAAGAAGCAGGUCUUGGCCAGGUGUGGUGGUUCAUGGCUGCAAUCCCAGCACUGGGGGGCCGAGGCCGGAGGAUUGCUUGAGCCCAG